UACAGAGGGGGCAAGCGUUGUUCGGAAUUACUGGGCGUAAAGGGCGCGUAGGCGGCCGCCUAAGUCAGACGUGAAAUCCCUCGGCUCAACCGGGGAACUGCGUCUGAUACUGGGUGGCUUGAAUCCGGGAGAGGGAUGCGGAAUUCCAGGUGUAGCGGUGAAAUGCGUAGAUAUCAGGAAGAACACCCGUGGCGAAAGCGGCUCUCUGGAACGGUACUGACGCUGAGACGCGAAAGCGUGGGGAGCGAACAGG
This 253-nucleotide ribosomal RNA is filed under the name uncultured bacterium. RNAcentral's name for it is "partial 16S ribosomal RNA". It matches the Rfam family "Bacterial small subunit ribosomal RNA", at positions 524 to 776 of the family's 1533-position model. The record is from RNAcentral.